Camelina sativa (false flax) is the source of this 901-nucleotide non-coding RNA. The record is from RefSeq and is a predicted model, not a curated record. NCBI's taxonomy places the organism in Eukaryota, Viridiplantae, Streptophyta, Magnoliopsida, Brassicales, Brassicaceae.
AGCAGAGAACCAAAACGUGCAUCACUUUACAAUAGAAAUAAGCCUGAAACUCAACACUAGAAAAGACACAAAUCUAGAAAUCAAUUGAUUCCCCAGGAAACGAAGCUAUCAUCUUUAAGACAGAUACACUCAAGGACAGGAAUCAACUGAGAUUUCAACAGAUACACAGAAGGGUACACAGAGGAGAUACUGAUUUAUGAAUAGUGUCAUGGCUCCACUUUACAAUGUUUUAGUAAAGCAGAGAAGCAAAAUUCGCAUUACUUUAUAACCGUCUGCCCAACCUAGCAAAAGCAAAGAUCCAAAACGGGGCAUCUCUAUACAAUGGGUAAUAAGCCUGAUACUCGACACUAGAUAGGAUACAAAUAAAAAGAUCAUAAAACAAAAGUAGAUAGCUAUGAUCUUCCUACUUGUAUUCGAACUUCAGCUUUUGAAUAACAAUGUGAAAUCUUACAAGCAAUUAGAAAACUCCAAGAAGAGGAAUCAACUGAGAUUUCAAACAGAUACACGGAAGGGCCACAAAGGGGAAGAGACUGAUUCGUCAAUAGUGACACACAACCACAUAGUAUUAACGAGAGUCAAAAGGGGAUAAAAAAAACUUCUACAAGCUAUGAACAUGAAUCAUGGAAACGAUGAAACCUUUACGAAUUGCAAAUCAUGCAAUCGAACUUAUCGGGACAACUUGAUUAGGCAAAAAUAUCAUUGACCAUCAGAUACAUUCGAUCAAAAAUCCCAAAUUUUGCUCAAAACACGAAACGAGACCUAGAAAAUUAGUAAUUGGGACCGGAAAAAACAGAUCCAAAGGGUUUGUAGAGGAAUUAACCGAAAGGUUGGAAAUUUCGUUGAGAAAUUUAAUUGACAGCGGAGAAGAAGAAAACAAAAACAAAAACAAAAAUCGAGAAAA